RNAcentral lists this long non-coding RNA (598 nucleotides) under Equus caballus (horse). Its description in RNAcentral is "lncRNA (ENSECAG00000057894.1)". Lineage: Eukaryota; Metazoa; Chordata; Mammalia; Perissodactyla; Equidae. The record is from RNAcentral.
GUGUAUGGGUGGUGACUCUUUUCCUUGUGCGAUUUGCUAAGACAUCCUCUUUUGAGGGGAAGAGUGAGUGCAGUGGGAAGAAGGUUUGAGUCUUUCUCCUGGAUACUUCUGAAACAGAAGAAGCAUCUCUUCAUGUGACAAGGAAAAAAGUAGGAGAAAGAAGAUGCAGAGACAAAGAGAGGAGCUCACAUGUUCACUGGCAAUACUGACUAAGGAGAAAAUACAUGAGAAGUCAAAUGAAAUUUAACUGACUUCAUUUCUUGCAUCUUUAACAGAAGUAACUUUACUAUCCUCACAACAUGCCAAAUUUUUGAGUCAUGAAUAUCCGUUAAAAAUAAAGGGGAUCACCUUGAGCUCCAAAAAUGCAAAUCAACUGGAAAAACACCAGCUGGUCUGAAUCUUUCAACAUUGCAGUUGAGUCUGCCUCAUGUCAGCAGGCUCGCAGGUAUUCUUUUUAUAGAAACAGAACUUAGCAAAUCUAGCUGCUGUUUCUUUCUUGUCAAAAGUGAAUUUCUCCCUUCCCCAGCUGUAUCCAAACACACACACACACAGACAUCAAUUGCACACAAAUAUACAUUUGGAGAACAGUAGCACGUUA